UCCCUGGUGGCUCAGCUGGUAAAGAACCCGCCUGCAAUGCGGGAGACCUGGGUUCGAUCCCUGGCUUGGGAA
Molecule: transfer RNA, 72 nt
Filed under: Bos taurus (domestic cattle)
Lineage: Eukaryota; Metazoa; Chordata; Mammalia; Artiodactyla; Bovidae
Rfam family: tRNA
About the family: Transfer RNA (tRNA) molecules are approximately 80 nucleotides in length.
Source: Rfam by way of RNAcentral